Molecule: non-coding RNA, 1087 nt
Organism: Mugil cephalus (flathead mullet)
Lineage: Eukaryota; Metazoa; Chordata; Actinopteri; Mugiliformes; Mugilidae
Source: the annotation of a RefSeq genome assembly
GGUUGCUUUCUAAAAUUACACUUUUCUGUAGAUAUAUAGUUAGAAACAUUUAAACUUCGAAUGUUGUCUUAUUUCACAGGAACAACUUCCCCACCGACUGUGUUCCCUCUGCAUCAGUGUGAUUCUGGGGCUGGAAAUCAGGUCACUCUUGGUUGUCUCGCUCAUGGCUUCAACCCAGGGAGUCUUACUUUCACGUGGACCAACGACAAAGGGACCAGUCAGGAUUCUCAACAAUAUAUUUUAUCAGAUAACAACACAUAUACAGGAGUCAGUGUGAUCAGUGUAUCCAGAUCUGAGUGGGAUUCUUCCGCUUUUGAAUGUUCUGUGACUCAUCCUGGAGGGAACAGAAGUGCACAAGUGCGCCAGUUGGAAGGUGGAACAAAGUUAGAUGUGACAGUUCACAUCCUUCCAAAAGAGUACAUUGGAAAUGACAAGUCAGCUGAGGUCACUCUGAUGUGUCUGGUCUACAGUCCUGUGCAGCAGCGAUACCACAUCACCUGGAAUGAAGAUGGUGGAGUCUUCACUGAUGGCAUCAACUUCCCUCCUCAGAAGACCACCAAUGGCUACUUAGCUACAAGUCUUUACAGCCCCACCAGGGAAAAGUGGGAAGCGAGCAAGAUAUUCCACUGCAACGUCAGGUCUCGUGGUGGCAAUCAGUUUUCGAAACCUCAAGGAGUGUCUAAGGCCACGGAUUGUUCUUUAAAGUCAGAAUCAGGAUUUGCUGUGAACUGCACAGACGGUGUCACUGAAGAGGAUGAGUUCAGCAGCCUGUGGUUCACAUCCUCCUCCUUCAUAGUCCUCUUCAUAUUCUCUCUCCUCUAUAGCAUCAUAUUCAGCCUGAUCAAGGUCAAGAAACACUAAAAGAUGGAUUGGAAGCAUCUAUCUAUCUAUCUAUCUAUCUAUCUAUCUAUCUAUCUAUCUAUCUAUCUAUCUAUCUAUCUAUCUAUCUAUCUAUCUAUCUAUCUAUCUAUCUAUCUAUCUAUCUAAAUAUGCUUUCCUGUGUGCUGUAUUUAAUAACGUACUUACUGUAGACAGCAGGUUUGUAAAUUGUAAGACAAAAUAAUUUAAAAAUGAAAAAAUGAAGAAA